This 1041-nucleotide ribosomal RNA is filed under the name Microbacterium foliorum. Its description in RNAcentral is "bacterial SSU rRNA". It matches the Rfam family "Bacterial small subunit ribosomal RNA", at positions 43 to 1089 of the family's 1533-position model. The record is from RNAcentral. Lineage: Bacteria; Bacillati; Actinomycetota; Actinomycetes; Micrococcales; Microbacteriaceae.
CGUGCUUACCAUGCAGUCGAACGGUGAACACGGAGCUUGCUCUGUGGGAUCAGUGGCGAACGGGUGAGUAACACGUGAGCAACCUGCCCCUGACUCUGGGAUAAGCGCUGGAAACGGCGUCUAAUACUGGAUACGAGUAGCGACCGCAUGGUCAGUUACUGGAAAGAUUUAUUGGUUGGGGAUGGGCUCGCGGCCUAUCAGCUUGUUGGUGAGGUAAUGGCUCACCAAGGCGUCGACGGGUAGCCGGCCUGAGAGGGUGACCGGCCACACUGGGACUGAGACACGGCCCAGACUCCUACGGGAGGCAGCAGUGGGGAAUAUUGCACAAUGGGCGCAAGCCUGAUGCAGCAACGCCGCGUGAGGGAUGACGGCCUUCGGGUUGUAAACCUCUUUUAGCAGGGAAGAAGCGAAAGUGACGGUACCUGCAGAAAAAGCGCCGGCUAACUACGUGCCAGCAGCCGCGGUAAUACGUAGGGCGCAAGCGUUAUCCGGAAUUAUUGGGCGUAAAGAGCUCGUAGGCGGUUUGUCGCGUCUGCUGUGAAAUCCGGAGGCUCAACCUCCGGCCUGCAGUGGGUACGGGCAGACUAGAGUGCGGUAGGGGGAGAUUGGAAUUCCUGGUGUAGCGGUGGAAUGCGCAGAUAUCAGGAGGAACACCGAUGGCGAAGGCAGAUCUCUGGGCCGUAACUGACGCUGAGGAGCGAAAGGGUGGGGAGCAAACAGGCUUAGAUACCCUGGUAGUCCACCCCGUAAACGUUGGGAACUAGUUGUGGGGUCCAUUCCACGGAUUCCGUGACGCAGCUAACGCAUUAAGUUCCCCGCCUGGGGGAGUACGGCCGCAAGGCUAAAACUCACAGGAAUUGACGGGGGACCCGCACAAGCGGCGGAGCAUGCGGAUUAAUUCGAUGCAACGCGAAGAACCUUACCAAGGCUUGACAUAUACGAGAACGGGCCAGAAAUGGUCAACUCUUUGGACACUCGUAAACAGGUGGUGGCAUGGGUUGUCGUCAGCUCGUGUCUUGAGAUGUUGGGGUUAAGUUCCCG